GGGCUGGUGGCGGAAGUGAACGCACGGGAUUGCAACCCCCGGUCUCCUGGUUCAAGUCCAGGUCAGCCCUCCA
RNAcentral lists this transfer RNA (73 nucleotides) under Devosia aurantiaca. RNAcentral describes it as "Devosia sp. H239 tRNA-Cys". It matches the Rfam family "tRNA". Rfam says of the family: Transfer RNA (tRNA) molecules are approximately 80 nucleotides in length. Their secondary structure includes four short double-helical elements and three loops (D, anti-codon, and T loops). Further hydrogen bonds mediate the characteristic L-shaped molecular structure. tRNAs have two regions of fundamental functional importance: the anti-codon, which is responsible for specific mRNA codon recognition, and the 3' end, to which the tRNAs corresponding amino acid is attached (by aminoacyl-tRNA synthetases). tRNAs cope with the degeneracy of the genetic code in two manners: having more than one tRNA (with a specific anti-codon) for a particular amino acid; and 'wobble' base-pairing, i.e. permitting non-standard base-pairing at the 3rd anti-codon position. The record is from RNAcentral. Lineage: Bacteria; Pseudomonadati; Pseudomonadota; Alphaproteobacteria; Hyphomicrobiales; Devosiaceae.